Molecule: ribosomal RNA, 484 nt
Filed under: uncultured bacterium
Lineage: Bacteria
Description: partial 16S ribosomal RNA
Rfam family: Bacterial small subunit ribosomal RNA
Source: RNAcentral
AUUGAACGCUGGCGGCAGGCCUAACACAUGCAAGUCGAGCGGAUGAAGGGAGCUUGCUCCUGGAUUCAGCGGCGGACGGGUGAGUAAUGCCUAGGAAUCUGCCUGGUAGUGGGGGAUAACGUCCGGAAACGGGCGCUAAUACCGCAUACGUCCUGAGGGAGAAAGUGGGGGAUCUUCGGACCUCACGCUAUCAGAUGAGCCUAGGUCGGAUUAGCUAGUUGGUGGGGUAAAGGCCUACCAAGGCGACGAUCCGUAACUGGUCUGAGAGGAUGAUCAGUCACACUGGAACUGAGACACGGUCCAGACUCCUACGGGAGGCAGCAGUGGGGAAUAUUGGACCAUGGGCGAAAGCCUGAUCCAGCCAUGCCGCGUGUGUGAAGAAGGUCCUCGGAUUGUAAAGCACUUUAAGUUGGGAGGAAGGGCAGUAAGUUAAUACCUUGCUGUUUUGACGUUACCAACAGAAUAAGCACCGGCUAACUUCGUG